GGGCGUAAAGAGCUCGUAGGUGGUUUGUCGCGUUGUUCGUGAAAUCUCACGGCUUAACUGUGAGCGUGCGGGCGAUACGGGCAGACUAGAGUACUGCAGGGGAGACUGGAAUUCCUGGUGUAGCGGUGGAAUGCGCAGAUAUCAGGAGGAACACCGGUGGCGAAGGCGGGUCUCUGGGCAGUAACUGACGCUGAGGAGCGAAAGCGUGGGGAGCGAACAGGAUUAGAUACCCUGGUAGUCCACGCCGUAAACGGUGGGUACUAGGUGUGGGUUUCCUUCCUUGGGAUCCGUGCCGUAGCUAACGCAUUAAGUACCCCGCCUGGGGAGUACGGCCGCAAGGCUAAAACUC
Molecule: ribosomal RNA, 349 nt
Filed under: uncultured Mycobacterium sp.
Lineage: Bacteria; Bacillati; Actinomycetota; Actinomycetes; Mycobacteriales; Mycobacteriaceae
Description: bacterial SSU rRNA
Rfam family: Bacterial small subunit ribosomal RNA
Source: RNAcentral